This 1044-nucleotide unclassified non-coding RNA is filed under the name Manduca sexta (tobacco hornworm). RNAcentral's name for it is "gRIP1-associated protein 1, transcript variant X4". Lineage: Eukaryota; Metazoa; Arthropoda; Insecta; Lepidoptera; Sphingidae. The record is from RNAcentral.
UGUACCAUUAAGUUUUAAUUAGGGAUGUGGAUUGACAAUAUUUAUAAAGAAUAAAGAUGGUCGCUUGAUCAAUAUUGUGCAGGUCACCAUGGCAACGAAAUCCAGCUUCCUAACACUUUUAUGCUAUUCAAUUAAAAAGUCUUUACUACUAAACUACAGACCUUUAUUAAUGUUGUCAUUUCAGAAUUUUUUAUUUAGUUGUAAAAUAAAUCAUGACAUUAGCAGCAAUUUUUGUGUUGUAUAAAAAUAAAGUGAAACAUGGAUGGUCUUGAUUUACUAGCACGUGAAGAUGAAUUUAAGAAGCUUAACAAGCAAUUGGAAAAGAAAACUGAAACCCUUAUGAAGGAAAUCGAGCAAGUAAUGCAAAAGCAAGACAUAUUCACUGAAUUUACUUCAAAUGUCUACAAUACAAAUUCAAAAAAGCACUACUGUAAUACACAAAAUGCUGCAACACCAUUUCCCAUACACAAGUCAUUCAAAUCAACAAAAAAGAAUGCACAAAUUGCUACCAAAAAAUUGAAUAUGGAACAUAAAACACAAAGAAUACAUCAAGAAUUUCAAAAUGGGACCCAAAAUAUUCAUCAUAUUGACCCAAAAUGCAUUGACUCGUGUACACAACCCACCAAAACCACAAUAGCAUGUAAUUGUUGUAGUGAAAAGGCAAGCAACAAUGAUAUGGAAUAUUUAUAUGCAUUUGUGUCUGUUAACGUUAAGGAUGAAGUGUUUCCAAAGUCAUUUUUAAAAGAUGGAGUCACAGUGGAAAAUGUUUGUAAAUUUUUAUCAUCAAAGGUGAAACUUAUGCAGGAGCAAAUAGACAAAUUAAAAAUUACCAUAGAAAAAAAGACGUCGCAAUGUGAGAGUGCAUCUCACACAGCUAGCCGAGUUGGAGAGUCAGAAACUGGGGCUCUUGAACUCUACUAACAACAUGAAGGCGACCACGGCUGAGAUGAAGGCUAAAUGUCUCGCGUUACAGAAUAGACUUGAUGAGAAAGACAAACUCUUCAAAGAGAAGAGGAGCGAAUCGGACAAGUUAUCUUCGGAAGU